AAGAAACCUAACUUAAAAGAGCAAAGGAAAGAAUAAAAAAUUGUCAUUCUCAUAAAGGAAAGUGAGGAGAUCUCUUGCUGCGUCAAUCAGUCUUCUUCUUCAGCUGCUCGCCGGAAUCCUCAUCUCAGGUGUUAUGUAUUUAAAUCUCGAUGGACCUCACUCCAAGCUUGUGACUUUUCUUUCACAAAUCAAGGGAAAUUAGAUCUAAUAGCUUUGAGUAUAUGUAAGGACCACCUGGUUGUUCAAUAUCUUUGGUUAGAGUAAAAACUCUGGUUGUUGGUAUCCAUUUUCUACUGCCAACACAUUUCCCAUUUCGCAUUCUUCUUUGUUGAUCUUGUUGUGUUUCCUCUUCAGGAUUGCUUGUUGUCCUUUUCAACUCGAGGUGAAGUAUUCUACAUUCAUCCUCCAUAUGACCUUGUAUCUUGCACUUCCUGCAGUAAGAUGGAACGUAAUCAUAUUGAAUCUUAACCUUUACUGAUCUUGUUGCAUUAGUGUUCUCAUCCUCUAUCUCCAUUUGUACAAAUUGAGGUUUCUCCACAAGCAAGUCCAAUUGUACUUUUACUCUCGCGCAACUUGGGCGAGUUUUGUUAAUAGUAGCCAUGUCAAGUUGUAAGGGCUUACCAACUGCAUAAGCCAAUGUAAACAGUGCUUCUUUGAGGAAAAAUAUUGGCAAUAGAUCGGGGAAAGAGAUCCACGCAAUAGCCUAUGAGGUCUCUUUCUCUAUCUUAAACUUUGCAUCCUAAAUGAAAGGUCACAUUUGAUAUGAGCUACCAUCCUUAGCAGUAAUGUAAUAAGCAUUUUUUGACAUUAUAUUAAUGAAAUCUUCAACCAAUUCAAAUCUCAUUAAUAUAUGCCUAUUUCAAAGAAAGCCAAAUUUGCAAUCACCUUUAUUCAACACUGCUUAGGGAUCAGAUCCCUUAAUUCUGAUACUUCUGGCCAUCCAUAAGAGAAUUUACCUACAAUAGCAUAUUGUAGGUUCUCGAUAACGUUCAUUUCAGUGACCUCUUGUUCAGUCCACUUUACCACCGAAACACUAUCUAUAAUAUCAAUCUUCUUCAUAGGUAUGCGCUCUACAUUUAUCUUUGCCUUUGAAUUCUUAUUGGUUACCACAUUAGGAUUAGAAGUAGCUGCGUAAUUAGCAAUAAAAUCAUUAGAUCUGGAAGGGUCUGCUGGGACUUUAUCAAAGGAACCAAGUGAGGAAAUUGGGAAGUGGAGGCAAUAGUUGGAAACUGACCAGUCAUCGGAGAUGACUGGCCGCCUGUCGUCAUCAUAGGAUAGUCAAACUAGGGUUGAAGCAUGCGUACAACUAACAUUAAUUAUGAUUAGGCUCAAAUAGCACAACUUACAUCGGCACUAGCAGAGUCGGAGCAGAGAAGAGUAGCUGAACAACGAAGCAUGAGCGAGACUGUUCAACAAAUCAAAGAACAAGUGAUGAACCUCGCUCGUCGACCUACUACUUCAGCUCCUGAGGACACUGACGAUGACAGUGAUGAUGAGGAUGAUUAUGUAGAUCCCACUCCCUAGUUUAGAUCACUGGACAUUUAUGAAUUUUUGAAAGACUUUAUAAAUCUAUAAAUUGUGAUUUAGAUACUUUUGAAUGUUAUUUUAAGUUUGUU
Solanum stenotomum is the source of this 1616-nucleotide long non-coding RNA. RefSeq lists it as uncharacterized. NCBI's taxonomy places the organism in Eukaryota, Viridiplantae, Streptophyta, Magnoliopsida, Solanales, Solanaceae. The record is from RefSeq and is a predicted model, not a curated record. The transcript has 3 exons.